RNAcentral lists this ribosomal RNA (358 nucleotides) under uncultured soil bacterium. RNAcentral describes it as "bacterial SSU rRNA". It matches the Rfam family "Bacterial small subunit ribosomal RNA", at positions 26 to 381 of the family's 1533-position model. The record is from RNAcentral.
AGAUUGAACGCGUGGCGGCGGGCCUAACACAUGCAAGUCGAGCGGUAGAGAGGUGCUUGCAUCUCUUGAGAGCGGCGGACGGGUGAGUAAUGCCUAGGAAUCUGCCUAGUGGUGGGGGAUAACGUUCGGAAACGGACGCUAAUACCGCAUACGUCCUACGGGAGUAAAGCGGGGGACCUUCGGGCCUCGCGCCAUUAGAUGAGCCUAGGUCGGAUUAGCUAGUUGGUGAGGUAAUGGCUCACCAAGGCGACGAUCCGUAACUGGUCUGAGAGGAUGAUCAGUCACGACUGGAACUGACGACACGGUCCAGACUCCUACGGGAGGCAGCAGGCGGGGAAUAGUUGGACUAAGUGGGGAC